Molecule: long non-coding RNA, 507 nt
Filed under: Phoenix dactylifera (date palm)
Lineage: Eukaryota; Viridiplantae; Streptophyta; Magnoliopsida; Arecales; Arecaceae
Description: long non-coding RNA (PDAC_LNC008853)
Source: RNAcentral
CCGAACCAAGCCAACGACAGCAUCUUCCGAAUCCCCUGUUCCCAUUGAAUCAAGACUCAUCUGUUCCCAAGCCAUCUAGAAACAAGUCUAGAUUAGUAUCUAAACUUCCCCUCCAUUCCGUGUUCAUCUUCCACAUCAUCCCGUUCCUUCCGGGUCCAACAAACAGGGCUCUGUUUCGGAACAGAGCUAAGAUCCUCCACGUCUUCCGCAGUCCAAACAUCUCCUCCGGAUCAGCUUCAUCCUGAAUUCCAUGGAUUAACAGCAUCCCCUCUGUUCGUAAGAUCAGCAUCCACGGCACUAUCCUUCCAAACCAAGUCUUCAUCCCGUUAUGAUCCCCUUCUUCAUUCAAAUCCCAGCAAAUCUCAGCAUCCGUGGGUGAACUUGUGUAUCCUUAUCUCAGUUCUUCCACUCCCAGCUACCCACCUACCACCCUUAUCCCUUGCUUCAACGGAUCAGAACUGCAACAGUCCGCGGAUCAAGCUUCCUAACCAUCUGCCUCUUCCCAAC